This 424-nucleotide ribosomal RNA is filed under the name uncultured bacterium. RNAcentral's name for it is "bacterial SSU rRNA". It matches the Rfam family "Bacterial small subunit ribosomal RNA", at positions 356 to 773 of the family's 1533-position model. The record is from RNAcentral.
AGGGAAUCUUCCGCAAUGGGCGAAAGCCUGACGGAGCAACGCCGCGUGAGUGAUGAAGGUUUUCGGAUCGUAAAGCUCUGUUGCCAGGGAAGAACGUCGGAUAGAGUAACUGCUAUCCGAGUGACGGUACCUGAGAAGAAAGCCCCGGCUAACUACGUGCCAGCAGCCGCGGUAAUACGUAGGGGGCAAGCGUUGUCCGGAAUUAUUGGGCGUAAAGCGCGCGCAGGCGGCCAUUUAAGUCUGGUGGUUAAUCACGGGGCUCAACCCCGGGUCGCAUCGGAAACUGGGUGGCUGGAGUGCAGAAGAGGAAAGUGGAAUUCCACGUGUAGCGGUGAAAUGCGUAGAGAUGUGGAGGAACACCAGUGGCGAAGGCGACUUUCUGGGCUGUAACUGACGCUGAGGCGCGAAAGCGUGGGGAGCAAAC